GUCCCAGUAGUAUAAUCUAUUACUCUGGUCUUGUAAACCAAAAAUGAAGCCUAAACGCUUCCUAGGACA
This 69-nucleotide transfer RNA is filed under the name Leptosciurus mimulus. Its description in RNAcentral is "tRNA-Thr". Lineage: Eukaryota; Metazoa; Chordata; Mammalia; Rodentia; Sciuridae. The record is from RNAcentral.